GACUCCGCCCUGGUCUAUUACCUCCAAUGUGGUGGGUGGGCCUUGGCUGGACCCUGGCUGUUCAUAGGAUGCUGGUCCUCCUUCCUCAGCGUCCUGGCCUCCACUGUCCCUGGGAAGCACAGACGGGGUGGAGGGCUCAGUCAUAGAGGUGGCACUGCCACCAUGCGGGACAGCGUCCAGUAUGUCACACAGACCUUUCAUAAUGGCUCAGGUGCCAGGUGGAUGGCACACACCAUCCUCCCUGGGAGGCCCCCAGCAGGGUUUCAUUCACUCCACAGUCUGGGAUUAGGUGUUUUCCCGGGGUCCCCAGCCUGCUAAGGUUCUUAGAGUUUGGGAUGCUGCUCUUCCCAGUGAACAGGGAAGAGUCCUCAUGAGUGGGACUGGUAAGGGCAGUAGGGAGCGAAUGAUGGUUCAGUCGCUUGCUUGGGAGGCUGAGGCAGGGCAGUUACAAGUUGGAAGCCAGAGUGAGACCCUGUCUCAAAAUAAGAAGGAAAAGGGGGUCGGGGGUUGAUGCGUGGAUGAGACCCUAGGUCCCAUAGUAGGACUUCAGUAAUGUUGUGAGUUGUCCACCAGAGAAGAGAUGCGGACACUCUUAUGCUAAUAGAAAGUCCUCACUGGCUACACUGGAUGCUGGGGCCCCAGUGUAGCUCUGAGCCUCUCUUAGGGUAAGCUUUGUAAGUACAAAAACCAGAUCCUGGGUUGACACACCUCAGCUAACUAGAAAGGUUAGCAGAAGCACAACCGCAGAACCUCAAAAGCAAGGUAAUCCCACCUGUUUCUUCUCCCCACCAUCAUUGCUAUGGCUACUAGAAAAAGAAAAAUGUCACCUGCACACAUCACCCCAUCUGUGGCUCAAACCCUGUGUCUACCACUAAGUCAAUGACACCAGAUGACACCAGAGCCUCCAUUUUCAAUCCUGCUGUUGGGCAGCAUGUGAGGUCGGCAACCAAGUCUCCCGACCUCUGGGAACCUCUCCAAAUCCCUCCUGGGUUCAAUACGGGACUAUGUUGAACAGCGCAGAGCCAUGUCUCCUAACACAUGCUGGGUCCAUCUCUUGUUACCCUCUCCUCUCCAGUGUCUCUGUAAAUACCUCCAGGGAUGCCCGGAUGGCCCUGAUUCUGAGCAGGGACCAUCAUCUCUCCUGUGCUCCAGUUACCCUGCCAGCGACCUGUGUGUCCUCAUCCCUACUCCAGCCAUCGUUCUUCUUGGCGGUCACAGGAGAAGCCCUUCUUCCCACACCCUGGAUCCCCCUCCAGUGUCUCAACUAUUCCUGCACUGGCACCAUCUUAGCCCCUUUCAGACCAAAAGUGAAGCAAGCCUUGUGGCAUCCCUUUGAGUCCCUUUGGAAGAGUAUAAGGGGACCCCCUAAAACAGUUAAAUUAUCUCUAGGUA
This is a long non-coding RNA of Mus musculus (house mouse), 1392 nucleotides long. RefSeq annotates it as predicted gene, 32529. The transcript is spliced from 3 exons. The record is from RefSeq and is a predicted model, not a curated record. NCBI's taxonomy places the organism in Eukaryota, Metazoa, Chordata, Mammalia, Rodentia, Muridae.